Molecule: ribosomal RNA, 394 nt
Filed under: Aequipecten tehuelchus
Lineage: Eukaryota; Metazoa; Mollusca; Bivalvia; Pectinida; Pectinidae
Description: partial 12S ribosomal RNA
Rfam family: Bacterial small subunit ribosomal RNA
Source: RNAcentral
GCUUGGGGACUACGAGCACGUGCUUAAAACUCAAAGAACUUGGCGGCUUGUUAACUACCUAGGGGAAUAUGUGCCUUAAUCCGAUAGUCCCCGACAUAUUUUACUUGGCCUUGAAAAAUCAGUUGGUGUAUUGCCGUUGUCAGCUUGUUGUUGAGCAGAGAGAAACAGGCUUAAAGGGACUGCCUGGGUUAGGCAGGUUCCAUGAAUUCAGGUCGUAAUACUGCCUAUGGCUUCAGGGAGUGGGUGUUACAAUUCUUAGUCGGAAUAUGGAUCCUUUUAUGAAAAAAAGGUGAAAGUGAACUUAGGAGUAAGGGAGGAUUAAUAUGCCACCCUGAACUUGAAUCUAGCUUGUGUACAAACUGCCCGUCGCUCUCGGUAAGAGCUGAGAUAAGUC